RNAcentral lists this ribosomal RNA (441 nucleotides) under uncultured bacterium. Its description in RNAcentral is "bacterial SSU rRNA". It matches the Rfam family "Bacterial small subunit ribosomal RNA", at positions 958 to 1398 of the family's 1533-position model. The record is from RNAcentral.
AACGCGAAGAACCUUACCUGGGUUUGACAUCUCUGGACAACCGUAGAGAUACGGCUUUCGUAGCAAUACGACCAGAAGACAGGUGCUGCAUGGCUGUCGUCAGCUCGUGUGGUGACAUGUUGGGUUAAGUCCCGCAACGAGCGCAACCCUUGUCCUGUGUUGCCAUGCCGAAAGGCGGAACUCGCAGGAGACCGCCAGCGAUAAGCUGGAGGAAGGUGGGGAUGACGUCAAGUCCUCAUGGCCUUUAUGUCCAGGGCUACACACGUGCUACAAUGGCCGGUACAAUGCGCCGCUAAGUCGCAAGACGGAGCCAAUCGCAAAAAACCGGUCUCAGUUCGGAUUGCAGGCUGCAACUCGCCUGCAUGAAGCUGGAAUCGCUAGUAAUGGCAGAUCAGAACGCUGUCGUGAAUACGUUCCCGGGCCUUGUACACACCGAGACUA